GCGGCGCAAGGGAGAGUAACGCGUGGAUAUCUGCCCUCGGCUCCAGAAUAGCUACGGGAAACUGUAGGUAAUGCUGGAUAAUAUCUCCGGAUUAAAGGUGUGAUUCCGGCCGAGGAUGAGUCCGCGUCCUAUUAGAUUGUUGGUGGGGUAAUGGCCUACCAAGUCGAAGAUGGGUACCGGGUGUGAGAGCAUGGCCCGGCUCACCGGGACUGAGACACUGCCCAGACGUCUACGGACGGCUGCAGUCGAGAAUCUUCCGCAAUGGGCGCAAGCCUGACGGAGCGACGCCGCGUGCGGGAUGAAGGCCUUCGGGUUGUAAACCGCUGUCAGUUGGGAGGAAAUGCUAUGGGGUUCUCUCCAUAGUUUGACCGAUCUUCAGAGGAAGUACGGGCUAAGUACGUGCCAGCAGCCGCGGUAACACGUACCGUACGAACGUUAUUCGGAAUCACUGGGCUUAAGGAGUCCGUAGGCGGCUAUGUAGGUCAGGUGUGAAACCCCACGGCUCAACCGUGGAACUGCGCUUGAAACCAUAUGGCUAGAGGGAGAUAGAGGAAAGCGGAACUGAUGGUGGAGCGGUGAAAUGCGUUGAUAUCAUCAGGAACACCGGUGGCGAAAGCGGCUUUCUGGGUCUCUUCUGACGCUGAGGGACGAAAGCUAGGGGAGCGAACGGGAUUAGAUACCCCGGUAGUCCUAGCUGUAAACGAUGAGCACUAGU
RNAcentral lists this ribosomal RNA (715 nucleotides) under uncultured Planctomycetota bacterium. RNAcentral's name for it is "bacterial SSU rRNA". It matches the Rfam family "Bacterial small subunit ribosomal RNA", at positions 95 to 820 of the family's 1533-position model. Lineage: Bacteria; Pseudomonadati; Planctomycetota. The record is from RNAcentral.